UACGGAGGGAGCUAGCGUUAUUCGGAAUUACUGGGCGUAAAGCGCACGUAGGCGGCUUUGUAAGUAAGAGGUGAAAGCCCGGAGCUCAACUCCGGAACUGCCUUUUAGACUGCAUCGCUUGAAUCCAGGAGAGGUGAGUGGAAUUCCGAGUGUAGAGGUGAAAUUCGUAGAUAUUCGGAAGAACACCAGUGGCGAAGGCGGCUACCUGGACAGUGACUGACGCUGAGGCGCGAAAGCUAGGGGAGCGAACGGG
Molecule: ribosomal RNA, 253 nt
Filed under: uncultured bacterium
Lineage: Bacteria
Description: partial 16S ribosomal RNA
Rfam family: Bacterial small subunit ribosomal RNA
Source: RNAcentral